Molecule: long non-coding RNA, 1421 nt
Organism: Myxocyprinus asiaticus (Chinese sucker)
Lineage: Eukaryota; Metazoa; Chordata; Actinopteri; Cypriniformes; Catostomidae
Exons: 4
Source: RefSeq, a predicted model, not a curated record
GCUCGACCUGCGAUCACCAUCUGCUCCUGAACUGAAGAUACCUUGAGACCAAAGGCUGUGUUCAACAAGAGUCUGCUGAUCUUAUCCAGUUGGUGUUGCUAAAGAUGAUGAUGAUGAAGAUACUCCUCCUGGUGGUUGUGGUGGGAUGCUGCAGCCAGCUCUGUGCUGCUUACUUUGAAGAUGAUCACAUACUUAGAAGAGCAGACCAAAACAAAGACUGUACUGUGUUAAUGAAAGAUUACAACUUGACACAUAAACCUGUUAACACAUUUAUUAUUGCUUCAUAUCGCACUGUAAAAGCAUUGUGUAGAAAUAGGAUGGGACAAGUCACAAGCGAUACAGAAUUUUCUGUUAUUAAUUGUAGGCGCAAUAGAUUAAAUCAAAAUGAAUACUUUACAGAACGUGCUAACAGGCGUAUUAUAAUUGUAUGUGAUAGAGGCAAUCCAUUUCAUUUAAUGGGCACUGUAUAAAGACCUCUCAAUUAUAUUGCUGCUGGUGCAAACAAUCAUCUCUCCAUUGCAAUCAAUGAGGUGAUUUAAAUGAUUGUCUAACAAAGGCUUCUUUACAAUGAAUGACUAACUUGAACUCGAAACAGAAUAUCAAGGAACAUGACUGUUGUAACACAAAUAAAAGUACUUAUUGUGGCAGACAGCCACCUGCCAAUGCUUGUUAAGUCGCAUUCAUAUUUGAAGCAAAAAUGAUCUGUGGUUCCAGAAAGACAUUAUGGGCUGCAUGUUUCCAAGUUGUGUUGAAACUGUUUUUAUUUCCAGUUAAAAAGAUCAGUUUAAAUGUCUUUACAGAGAAAUAGGUAAACAGGUAUGGCUAUUAAAUCAAGAUAUUACAAUUGAACAGGUCACACAGCAUCACUGCUGUAGAAUAGAAAACUAGAAGAAACAUACUCCAGUACUCUUGGAAUGACAGAGUACUGCAAUUCUAUUACAAUGGCUGAGUUUCCAUGUGUGGUUUGAAUUUACUCAAGACAUUUCACUUCAGCCAAAUAAAAAAUGCCCUCAUUAUCCAUGUGUACAGGUCUGGAGCUGUUUAAUAUUCAUAUUAACCAUGAGUACAGGUCUGGAGCUGUUUAAUAUGCAUACUAUCCAUGCGUACAGGUCUGGAGCUGUAUUGUAUUAAAAAGAAUCCAUCAGCAAAUCAGAUAUUUCAUUCCAAUUUAUUUAAUUCACAGUUCUAUUCUUAUGUAAGCAAUAUUUUGGGGACUUUCACACUAAAAGGCACAAGAAUCAUGGCCUUACCGUGACAGACUUAAAUAUGAUGCCCUCUCCCACUUUCCUUGAUUUGCAUAGCAUUCGGGGGAAAGCAGGUGUUCCCAGGAAAAUGAAAAUGCAACAAAAUACCAAAUCCACGUUACUUAACGAUACAUGACUGUAAAUCAAGCCAAUGAGGUAUAACCAAUAUAUCCUAAC